Molecule: unclassified non-coding RNA, 329 nt
Filed under: soil metagenome
Description: partial contains 5.8S ribosomal RNA, internal transcribed spacer 2, and large subunit ribosomal RNA
Rfam family: 5.8S ribosomal RNA (bases 1-120)
Source: RNAcentral
GAUGAAGAACGUAGCGAAAUGCGAUAAGUAAUGUGAAUUGCAGAAUUCAGUGAAUCAUCGAAUCUUUGAACGCACAUUGCGCCCUCUGGUAUUCCGGGGGGCAUGCCUGUUCGAGCGUCAUUAUAACCACUCAAGCUCACGCUUGGUAUUGGGGUUCGCGGUUUCGCGGCCCCUAAAAUCAGUGGCGGUGCCUGUCGGCUCUACGCGUAGUAAUACUUCUCGCGAUUGAGUUCGAUAGGUCUACUUGCCAGUAACCCCCAAUUUUUACAGGUUGACCUCGGAUCAGGUAGGGAUACCCGCUGAACUUAAGCAUAUCAAUAAGCGGAGGA